AACGCGAAGAACCUUACCAUCCUUUGACAUGGCGUGUUACCCAGAGAGAUUUGGGGUCCACUUCGGUGGCGCGCACACAGGUGCUGCAUGGCUGUCGUCAGCUCGUGUCGUGAGAUGUUGGGUUAAGUCCCGCAACGAGCGCAACCCUUAUUAUCAGUUGCCAGCAUUAAGUUGGGCACUCUGGUGAGACUGCCGGUGACAAACCGGAGGAAGGUGGGGAUGACGUCAAGUCAUCAUGCCCCUUAUGUCUUGGGCUUCACGCAUGCUACAAUGGCCGGUACAAAGGGCUGCAAUACCGUGAGGUGGAGCGAAUCCCAAAAAGCCGGUCCCAGUUCGGAUUGAGGUCUGCAACUCGACCUCAUGAAGUCGGAGUCGCUAGUAAUCGCAAACGCGAAGAACCUUAC
Molecule: ribosomal RNA, 404 nt
Filed under: uncultured bacterium
Lineage: Bacteria
Description: bacterial SSU rRNA
Rfam family: Bacterial small subunit ribosomal RNA
Source: RNAcentral